This 253-nucleotide ribosomal RNA is filed under the name uncultured bacterium. RNAcentral describes it as "partial 16S ribosomal RNA". It matches the Rfam family "Bacterial small subunit ribosomal RNA", at positions 524 to 776 of the family's 1533-position model. The record is from RNAcentral.
GACAGAGGUGCCAAGCGUUAGGCGGAAUCACUGGGCUUAAAGCGUGUGUAGGUGGAUGCCUAAGUACCUUGUGAAAUCCCACGGCUUAACCGUGGAACUGCUUGGCAUACUGGCGGUCUUGAGCAACCUAGGGGCGAGCGGAACAAAUGGUGGAGCGGUGAAAUGCGUAGAUAUCAUUUGGAACGCCAAUGGUGAAAACAGCUCGCUGGGGGUUUGCUGACGCUGAGACACGAAAGCCAGGGGAGCAAACGGG